This 587-nucleotide long non-coding RNA is filed under the name Mus caroli (Ryukyu mouse). Its description in RNAcentral is "lncRNA (MGP_CAROLIEiJ_G0002893.1)". The record is from RNAcentral. Lineage: Eukaryota; Metazoa; Chordata; Mammalia; Rodentia; Muridae.
AGCCUGAGAAUGUCAGCUACCGAGAAAGGGGUGGAGGCCACAGGACUGGGCAGCAUCUCGUAGCUGAGGGGAGGAGCUGACAAGUUCUCGACCACAGCCAGGUGUCGCACCCCCAACUUCCUCUUCUGUAGUGGCAGUCCUAAUAGAUUCUGGGAUGCACACUCAAGAUCCUGGACCGCGCCUUCCCUUGACUGGGGCACCAGGACCGGGUGAUAAGAUCGCGGUUCUCCAUUGGUUCCCACAGAAACCACGUGCUAACCCUGAGCCUUCCUACCCAAAAACUGACAGAAACAUAACAUAACCAUUAGAGAGGCUUCACCCAGAAACCGAUGGAAGCAAAUCCAGAAACCCACAGCCAAACAUUAGAACAAUUCAGUAGAAUGUGGAAACAGCUAUCAUUCCAAGCAAACCCAGAAGGGACUCUGGAGAAAGAAUGGCAGUGGUACCUGUUUGAAGCUUCAUGAGUCUCCUCGACUCCAUCACCUGCACUUUCAAGCUAAGCCAAAUGCAGCUGCUUGGCGACCAUAUUGUCUGUAUUUCCCCUACAAUUCCACUCAGUAUAUCUCUUAUACUAUGCUUUUUCCUAA